GCCGGGCGUGGUGGCUCACGCCUGUAAUCCAAGCAAUUUGGAGGCCAAGGGGGGAGGAUCACCUGAGGUCGGGAAUUCAAGAUCAGCCUGACCAACAUGGUGAAACCCCGUCUUUA
Molecule: unclassified non-coding RNA, 116 nt
Organism: Callithrix jacchus (white-tufted-ear marmoset)
Lineage: Eukaryota; Metazoa; Chordata; Mammalia; Primates; Cebidae
Rfam family: Metazoan signal recognition particle RNA
About the family: The signal recognition particle (SRP) is a universally conserved ribonucleoprotein. It is involved in the co-translational targeting of proteins to membranes.
Source: Ensembl